UUCGCCCUUAGAGUUUGAUCCUGGCUCAGGAUGAACGCUGGCGGCGUGCUUAACACAUGCAAGUCGAACGAGGAUUAUUAUCAAGGAGGCUUCGGCCAACGAGAUUUUAAUCCGAGUGGCGGACGGGUGAGUAACGCGUGGGUAACCUGCCUAUCACAGGGGGACAACAGCUGGAAACGGCUGCUAAUACCGCAUAAGCGCACGGUAUCGCAUGAUACAGUGUGAAAAACUCCGGUGGUGAUAGAUGGACCCGCGUCUGAUUAGCUAGUUGGUGAGGUAACGGCCCACCAAGGCAACGAUCAGUAGCCGAACUGAGAGGUUGACCGGCCACAUUGGGACUGAGACACGGCCCAAACUCCUACGGGAGGCAGCAGUGGGGAAUAUUGCACAAUGGGGGAAACCCUGAUGCAGCGACGCCGCGUGAGUGAUGACGUAUUUCGGUAUGUAAAGCUCUAUCAGCAGGGAAGAAAAUGACGGUACCUGACUAAGAAGCCCCGGCUAACUACGUGCCAGCAGCCGCGGUAAUACGUAGGGGGCAAGCGUUAUCCGGAUUUACUGGGUGUAAAGGGAGCGUAGGUGGUAUGGUAAGUCAGAAAUGAAAAACCCGAGGCUUAACUUCCGGGAUUGCUUUUGAAACUAUCAAACUAGAGUGCAGGAGGGGUAAGCGGAAUUCCUAGUGUAGCGGUGAAAUGCUUAGAUAUUAGGAAGAACACCGGGGGGGAAGGGGCUUAUGGACUGUAAUGACACGGAGGCUCGGAAGCGGGGGGGCAAACAGGAUUAGAUACCCUGGUAGUCCACGCCGUAAACGAUGGAAUACUGGAUGUGCGGGGGACUGACCCCCUGCGUGCCGCAGUUAACACAAUAAGUAUUCCACCUGGGGAGUACGAUCGCAAGGUUGAAACUCAAAGGAAUUGACGGGGGCCCGCACAAGCGGUGGAUUAUGUGGUUUAAUUCGAAGCAACGCGAAGAACCUUACCAGGGUUUGACAUCCUGCUAACGAAGUAGAGAUACAUUAGGUGCCCUUCGGGGAAAGCAGAGACAGGUGGUGCAUGGUUGUCGUCAGCUCGUGUCGUGAGAUGUUGGGUUAAGUCCCGCAACGAGCGCAACCCCUAUUGUUAGUUGCUACGCAAGAGCACUCUAGCGAGACUGCCGUUGACAAAACGGAGGAAGGUGGGGACGACGUCAAAUCAUCAUGCCCCUUAUAUCCUGGGCUACACACGUAAUACAAUGGCGGUCAACAGAGGGAAGCAAAGCCGCGAGGCAGAGCAAACCCCUAAAAGCCGUCUCAGUUCGGAUUGCAGGCUGCAACUCGCCUGCAUGAAGUCGGAAUUGCUAGUAAUCGCAGAUCAGCAUGCUGCGGGGAAUACGAAAGGGGGCCUUGCACACACCGCCCGUCA
Molecule: ribosomal RNA, 1397 nt
Filed under: uncultured bacterium
Lineage: Bacteria
Description: 16S ribosomal RNA
Rfam family: Bacterial small subunit ribosomal RNA
Source: RNAcentral